Molecule: long non-coding RNA, 2521 nt
Organism: Aethalodelphis obliquidens (Pacific white-sided dolphin)
Lineage: Eukaryota; Metazoa; Chordata; Mammalia; Artiodactyla; Delphinidae
Exons: 2
Source: RefSeq, a predicted model, not a curated record
GUGAGGCCGGCCUGAGCAGGCGCCGUCCCAUCGCACCUCCAGCCCCACCUCCCUGGAUGCCCAGGCCUCCCUGCCUCUGUCCCCGUUGCUGCCCCCUUGCGCCUGUCUGGGAGCCUGUUUACCUUGAUCUUUUGUGUCCCACAGCUCUGACUCUCUCCGUCCCUCCCUCCCUCCCAGAUGUUGGCUGUCUUUCCCUGGGCACGCCUCCCUGUGGGUGUCCUGCAUUGGUCUUUCUGUUCCUGUCUCUGAGUCCCUGCCCCCCUCGCUCUGUCUGUCUCUGCCUCUCUCUCCCUCCUUUUCUCUCUCUUGGCAUUUCUGUCUGUGUCUCCGUUCAUCCUUCUGUCUUUCUGGCUCUCCAUCUGUCACUACCUCUCUUUAUAUCUUUACGUCUCCAUGAUUCUUUGUCACUGUGUAUCUUCCCGACUCUCCCUUCCCCCUGCCCCUCCGCGUACUUCUCCUUCCUCCCCUUUCGCUCUCGUGGACACUUGCCGGGUUGGUGGAGAGGUUAACCACCACACUGGUGACUGGGCCAGCACAAAUGGAGAGCUUCUGCAGGCAGCACUUUCUUGGCUGUGCACUUAGGUGAAGCCCUCAGACCCUCCUGUCUGCCCCCCAGCCCACCCCCCAUUUACCCUGUAGCGCGCCCACCGUGGGAUGAAAUCAGGUUCUCACCAGACACGCACUGGCGGCUCAUCAAAAGCCAAAGGGACGGGAGCUGUCCGUUCAGCACCACAGCCCGCCCUCUGGCCUUGCAGGGUGAGUGCCCACAGCCAGUGUCCACACUACCCAACCAGAAAAGGAGUGUCCUGAUGACCCAGACUCUUCCGGAGAGAGCCCGAGAAGUUGUGACGGGAGCACAGAGGAAUCCUGAGCAAGCAGCAGGGAGAGCCUUUGGGGUCUUGGAGGAGACGCAGGGCGAAGACACAUGACUUGGUCAUUGGCUCAGGAGCGUGGGAGGGAGGGCCAGGUAGGGGUGGGCCUCGAAGGGGAUUUGGGCCUGCCUUGUCGAUCUUGCUUUUUCACAAGCAGAAUCUACUCGCGUGUUACUUAUGUCAUUAAAAGUUAACUGUAGAAAGGAGGCUGAGGGGUACCUCCCAGGACGUGUGCUUGGGAGUUAGAGGAGGCAGGACCAGGCAGAGCGGCUCUCCAGGAACAGCAGAGCAGGAGAUAUUUGGACCCUUGCAGAGGCUGGGGAGGUAGCCAGACCUGUGCUCAGAAGGGAAGGUGGGGCAGGGAGUGAGAGGGAGUCUGGUCAGGGGCCUAGCUGGGUCCUGGGAGAGGCCAGGGAGGAGGGGCCUCAGUCUAACCCUGCCAGCACCCACCACUCUGGCAACAGACACCAGCCCCCUACCCUGACCCUUCAGAGAGUCCUUUCUCAGCCCCUGUUAAAACCUCUGAAAGAGUUUACCUUACAGGCCAGGAACCUGGGGCCUCACAGCUGCUCAAGGCCCUCUCUGCCUCAAGCCUGAGAUUUUCCCAGGAAAAGGGUUGCAAAUUAAUAACAGAGGAAUUUUACAGACAAAUGCCAGGGGCUCCCUUCCAGGCAGCUGUCACCUCAGCCUGGAGGGGGGCUGGUGGCAAUUCAGGGGCAGGAGGGGGAGCUUGGGCAGGUGUGAGUGUAGGCAGGUGAGAGGGGAGAGGGCUGGGGGCUCAAGACUGAGGUCAGAGUCUCCGAGGUCAUGGCUCUGCCCAGGGGACAAGGGUCCAACUGGGAAGUGAAGGACUAUGUCCCGCGGCUGCAAACAGGGAUGCAGCUUGGCGUCUGGUGGUCGUGGAGAUCCCCUGGGUUGGUGGCCUAUGAGGACCUUCCUUCUCAGAAGACCCUUCCUCAAGAAGCCCAGUGGGAAGGGGCAACUCCCCAGGAGGGGGCUUGGGAGUGAGGCCUGCGCUGUCGUCUGGUUGCAAGUCAGAGGGGACGGCAUGGUGGGUGGGGAACCGGCAAGUUUGGAGACAGUGAGCAGGGGGCAGCCUGCGCCGGGGUUGGAGAUCAGGGCUGGGCCCAGCCACAUGCAAGACGGGAGGGUACGCCUGUAUUUUCAGAGCCGGAGGGGCUUAAAGUUCCUCUCAUUGCAGAGCGAAGAGGUGGAGGCCCAGACCUCUCCACAGACAUAGCUCCAGCCAGGAAGUGGGGCCUCGAGGCACGCCCUCCCUUUUCUCUCCUCACCAGGACCCUCUCUUCCGUCCCCAUCACUGACUUAAGAAAGUCAUUAAAAACAAAUCUCCACCGUGAACUGGAUUGCUUUGAUCCCCCUUCAUAGUAAAUGUUACACAUGCAAGAGUGCACAUUGGCCUGUUGGAUGAUUACAUCUCAGAAGAGCAAGAGUAGGAAGGCACCAGGCCAGCCUAGGGCACCUGGUGACAACAGUAAUCGUGCCCAAGGGGGAUGGGGUGGGCACACCACACCCUUCCUCCGAACUGACUCUCAAGACCAGCCAGCCCAGGCAGACACCCUCAUCAGCCUCAUUUCUACAGAGGAGAAGGAGGUGCAGAGAGGGCAAGUGGCACCCCCAAAGUCACACAG